UACGUAGGUGGCAAGCGUUGUUCGGAAUCACUGGGCGUAAAGGGCGCGUAGGCGGCCUCAGGUGUCGGAUGUGAAAGCCCGGGGCUCAACCCCGGAGGUGCAUCCGAAACUCUGGGGCUGGAGGUCGGAAGAGGAGGGUGGAAUACCCAGUGUAGAGGUGAAAUUCGUAGAUAUUGGGUGGAACACCGGUGGCGAAAGCGGCUCUCUGGUCCGGACCUGACGCUGAGGCGCGAAAGCUAGGGGAGCGAACAGG
This 253-nucleotide ribosomal RNA is filed under the name uncultured bacterium. Its description in RNAcentral is "partial 16S ribosomal RNA". It matches the Rfam family "Bacterial small subunit ribosomal RNA", at positions 524 to 776 of the family's 1533-position model. The record is from RNAcentral.